Molecule: ribosomal RNA, 468 nt
Filed under: uncultured bacterium
Lineage: Bacteria
Description: partial 16S ribosomal RNA
Rfam family: Bacterial small subunit ribosomal RNA
Source: RNAcentral
GACGAACGCUGGCGGCGUGCUUAACACAUGCAAGUCGAACGGAAAGGCCCUGCUUUUGUGGGGUGCUCGAGUGGCGAACGGGUGAGUAACACGUGAGUAACCUGCCCUUGACUUUGGGAUAACUUCAGGAAACUGGGGCUAAUACCGGAUAGGAGCUCCUGCUGCAUGGUGGGGGUUGGAAAGUUUCGUCGGUUGGGGAUGGACUCGCGGCUUAUCAGCUGGUUGGUGGGGUAGUGGCGUACCAAGGCUUUGACGCGUAGCCGGCCUGAGCGGGUGACCGGCCACACUGGGACUGAGAUGAGGCCCAGAACCCUCCGGGAGGCAGCAGAAGGGAAGAUUGCAAAAUGGGGGGAAGCCUGAUGUAGGAACGGAGGGUGCGGGAUGACGGCCGUCGGGGGGUAAACAGCUUUCGCCUGUGACGAAGAGUGAGUGACGGUAAUGGGUAAAGAAGCACCGGCUAACUACGUG